UAGAGUUCUUUUCGCCGUUGGCUUUCGGUG
RNAcentral lists this small RNA (30 nucleotides) under Arabidopsis thaliana (thale cress). RNAcentral's name for it is "ATSL150550". The record is from RNAcentral. Lineage: Eukaryota; Viridiplantae; Streptophyta; Magnoliopsida; Brassicales; Brassicaceae.